AGCUUUUCGAAUCCGUGCUGAGGUUUCGUCACACACCAUUCCAUUUGGGCUGAUUAAACUCCCAAGAUAAGUGAGGUU
Molecule: microRNA precursor, 78 nt
Filed under: Schistosoma margrebowiei
Lineage: Eukaryota; Metazoa; Platyhelminthes; Trematoda; Strigeidida; Schistosomatidae
Description: mir-3492 microRNA precursor family
Rfam family: mir-3492 microRNA precursor family
Source: Rfam by way of RNAcentral